RNAcentral lists this ribosomal RNA (468 nucleotides) under uncultured bacterium. Its description in RNAcentral is "partial 16S ribosomal RNA". It matches the Rfam family "Bacterial small subunit ribosomal RNA", at positions 28 to 507 of the family's 1533-position model. The record is from RNAcentral.
GACGAACGCUGGCGGCGUGCUUAACACAUGCAAGUCGAACGGAAAGGCCCUGCUUUUGUGGGGUGCUCGAGUGGCGAACGGGUGAGUAACACGUGAGUAACCUGCCCUUGACUUUGGGAUAACUUCAGGAAACUGGGGCUAAUAUCGGAUAGGAGCUCCUGCUGCAUGGUGGGGGUUGGAAAGUUUCGGCGGUUGGGGAUGGACUCGCGGCUUAUCAGCUUGUUGGUGGGGUAGUGGCUUACCAAGGCUUUGACGGGUAGCCGGCCUGGGAGGGUGACCGGCCACAUUGGGACUGAGAUACGGCCCAGACUCCUACGGGAGGCAGCAGUGGGGAAUAUGGCACAAUGGGUGGAAGCCGGAUGCAGCAACGCCGCGUGCGGGAUGACGGCCUGCGGGUUGUAAACCGCUUUCGCCUGUGACGAAGCGUGAGUGACGGUAAUGGGUAAAGAAGCACCGGCUAACUACGUG